AUAGCACUAAAUUCAACUCAAUUCAACUAUACAAACAUCUCAUAUUUUUAGUCUCUGUCAGAAAGUGCCUUUGUAUAAUGUAAUAAUCACAGCUCUCAAAAUACCAAUAUCAAGAUUUCAAACAUCAAUCGAGAAAUCGAUCGAACUUCCACACACUGUAUUAAAGUAACUAUAACAUAAAGAAAUGAAUGGUUACCGCAGCAUAAGGAGGGUGAUCUGGGGUUUGGGACUGGGACAGCAAUUGACUCAUGCGGUCUUGGAGAAUGCUCUUGCUGGCUGCCGUUAAUGGUGCAUUUGGAUGAGUUUCUGCGAGUUUCACUAUAACUUCUUGGAACUUCGCCAUGGCUCUCUGUUGAAUAUGAUUUGAGGGAUUUUGAAGGGUUUUAUUCAGGUUCAGAGAUACAGACUAAUAAUUAUACCAUGUCAAGAUUUC
This 433-nucleotide long non-coding RNA is filed under the name Olea europaea (common olive). Its description in RNAcentral is "long non-coding RNA (OEUR_LNC014851)". The record is from RNAcentral. Lineage: Eukaryota; Viridiplantae; Streptophyta; Magnoliopsida; Lamiales; Oleaceae.